CUGUAAAGGAACUUGAGGAUAAACACAUCUUUCAUCGGGACAUCAAGGGACAAAACAUUCUGAUUGAGACCGGCUCAGAUGUGCCUCGUGUUCGCAUCAUUGACUUUGGACUGAGCUGCUUUGUUAAACAGCGAUCUCUGUAUCGCAUCUUCUAUGGCACUCCUCUUCACAUCCCUCCCGAGUGGUACAUUAGGAGCUGCUACAGGUGUGGACCCACCACGGUGUGGCAAAUGGGAGUGGUGUUGUAUGAAGCGCUCAUGCACGAUACUUUAGUACCGCGAGGUUCCUCACAAAGAAACUGAGCAUCAAAAAGCGUCUGUCCACAGAAUGCCGGAAUUUCUUGGACGCAUGUUUAGCUAUAGUCCCGGAGAAGCGCCCAACACUGGAGGAGCUCCAGCUUCACCCCUGGCUAAGAUAACACACACAAACACACAAUUCACACCUUAUCAUAUAAGUAUGAUACAUUGUAGUAA
This is a long non-coding RNA of Oreochromis niloticus (Nile tilapia), 473 nucleotides long. RefSeq lists it as uncharacterized. The record is from RefSeq and is a predicted model, not a curated record. NCBI's taxonomy places the organism in Eukaryota, Metazoa, Chordata, Actinopteri, Cichliformes, Cichlidae. The transcript has 3 exons.